AGAACUUAGCAGAGAUGCUUUGGUGCCUUCGGGAACUCUGAGACAGGUGCUGCAUGGCUGUCGUCAGCUCGUGUUGUGAAAUGGUUGGGUUAAGUCCCGCAACGAGCGCAACCCUUAUCCUUUGUUGCCAGCGGUCCGGCCGGGAACUCAAAGGAGACUGCCAGUGAUAAACUGGAGGAAGGUGGGGAUGACGUCAAGUCAUCAUGGCCCUUACGAGUAGGGCUACACACGUGCUACAAUGGCGCAUACAAAGAGAAGCGACCUCGCGAGAGCAAGCGGACCUCAUAAAGUGCGUCGUAGUCCGGAUUGGAGUCUGCAACUCGACUCCAUGAAGUCGGAAUCGCUAGUAAUCGUGGAUCAGAAUGCCACGGUGAAUACGUUCCCGGGCCUUGUACACACCGCCCGUCACACCAUGGGAGUGGGUUGCAAAAGAAGUAGGUAGCUUAACCUUCGGGAGGGCGCUUACCACUUUGUGAUUCAUGACUGGGGUGAAGUCGUAACAAGGUAGGCGUAGUGCU
This 518-nucleotide ribosomal RNA is filed under the name uncultured bacterium. Its description in RNAcentral is "bacterial SSU rRNA". It matches the Rfam family "Bacterial small subunit ribosomal RNA", at positions 992 to 1509 of the family's 1533-position model. The record is from RNAcentral.